UGGUAUGGACUAGUGGUUAGAGCGUCCGCCUCCGGUGCGGGAGGUCGUGGGUUUGAUCCCCGGCUGAGUAAUACCAAAG
Molecule: non-coding RNA, 79 nt
Organism: Potamilus streckersoni
Lineage: Eukaryota; Metazoa; Mollusca; Bivalvia; Unionida; Unionidae
Source: the annotation of a GenBank genome assembly